AGAAUCAACGCUGGCGGCGUGCCUAACACAUGCAAGUCGAACGAGAAAGUGGAGCAAUCCAUGAGUAAAGUGGCGACCGGGUGAGUAACACGUGACUAACCUACCUUCAAGUGGGGGAUAACCUCGGGAAACCGGGGCUAAUACCGCAUAACAUCUUUGGAGUGGAAAUUCUGGAGAUCAAAGGAGCAAUUCGCUGGAAGAGGGGGUCGCGGCUGAUUAGCUAGUUGGCGGGGUAAUGGCCCACCAAGGCUUCGACGGGUAGCUGGUCUGAGAGGACGAUCAGCCACACUGGGACUGAGACACGGCCCAGACUCCUACGGGAGGCAGCAGUGGGGAAUCUUGCGCAAUGGGCGAAAGCCUGACGCAGCAACGCCGCGUGAGGGACGAAGGCCUUCUGGGUUGUAAACCUCUUUCAGCAGGGACGAUGAUGACGGUACCUGCAGAGAAGCCCGGCAACUACGUGCCAGCAGCCGC
This 474-nucleotide ribosomal RNA is filed under the name uncultured bacterium. RNAcentral describes it as "SSU rRNA". It matches the Rfam family "Bacterial small subunit ribosomal RNA", at positions 26 to 518 of the family's 1533-position model. The record is from RNAcentral.